Molecule: ribosomal RNA, 402 nt
Filed under: uncultured bacterium
Lineage: Bacteria
Description: bacterial SSU rRNA
Rfam family: Bacterial small subunit ribosomal RNA
Source: RNAcentral
GGAAUAUUGGGCAAUGGAGGAAACUCUGACCCAGCAACGCCGCGUGAAGGAAGAAGGUUUUCGGAUUGUAAACUUCUGAUCUGUGGGAAGAAGAAAGUGACGGUACCACAGGAGAAAGCCACGGCUAACUACGUGCCAGCAGCCGCGGUAAUACGUAGGUGGCGAGCGUUGUCCGGAAUAACUGGGCGUAAAGGGAGCGUAGGUGGCUAUUUAAGUUAAAUGUGAAAGCCCAGGGCCCAACUCUGGAAUUGCAUUUAAUACUGGGUAGCUAGAGUACUGGAGGGGUAAACGGAAUUUCUAGUGUAGCGGUGGAAUGCGUAGAUAUUAGGAAGAACACCGGAGGCGAAGGCGGUUUACUGGACAGCAACUGACACUGAGGCUCGAAAGCGUGGGGAGCAAACA